AUUGAACGCUGGCGGCAUGCUUUACACAUGCAAGUCGAACGGUAACAGGCCGCAAGGUGCUGACGAGUGGCGAACGGGUGAGUAAUGCAUCGGAACGUGCCCAGUCGUUGGGGAUAACUACUCGAAAGAGUAGCUAAUACCGCAUACGAUCUAUGGAUGAAAGCGGGGGACCGUAAGGCCUCGCGCGAUUGUAGCGGCCGAUGUCAGAUUAGGUAGUUGGUGGGGUAAAGGCUCACCAAGCCAACGAUCUGUAGCUGGUCUGAGAGGACGACCAGCCACACUGGGACUGAGACACGGCCCAGACUCCUACGGGAGGCAGCAGUGGGGAAUGUUGGACAAUGGGCGCAAGCCUGAUCCAGCAAUGCCGCGUGAAGGAAGAAGGCCUUCGGGUUGUAAACUGCUUUUGUACGGAACGAAACGGCUCUGGUUAAUACCCGGGGCUAAUGACGGUACCGUAAGAAUAAGCACCGGCUAACUACGUG
This 482-nucleotide ribosomal RNA is filed under the name uncultured bacterium. RNAcentral describes it as "partial 16S ribosomal RNA". It matches the Rfam family "Bacterial small subunit ribosomal RNA", at positions 30 to 507 of the family's 1533-position model. The record is from RNAcentral.